UGCGGCUUUGAACUAGCUUUCAGUACCUGCGAGCAUUCGUUGUUCAAUAAUGUGUGUCUUUGUGUUAUUAUUUUAUGUGAUAAAUUGUUGUGUUGGUACACCACUGUAACAAUGAAGGAGGAAAUGAGGAGGGUUGGUUGGGUGGAAGUGGGGAGGGGUAUGCGGAGCGCUAACAAACAUGUCUAUGCGGCAUGGGCUUUGAUCAUUGUUGAAGCAUCAAUGUAAGGGGCAUUUAAUAUCUUAAUAAAACUAUUCUUAUUUUAGAUACUAUAUAUUGUUAUCUGAUAUUGGACGAAAGAUGUUGCCCUUUUAUGUAAUUAUGUAAUACAAGUUACGAUCAUUUGAAAACACAUAUUAAACAGCCAAAUGGAUGCACAAGAGCUAAAAUAGGAGUCAUAGAUCCUAUUGACAACAAUUAUCUGCCCAAUUUUAUUGAUUUUGUAACAUUUGUUUCAAAUAUGACCAACUUCUUAUCCAAAAUCACCAGCACCGUAUCAGGACCACCAGCACAAUGACAGGACCCACCAGCACAGUAUCAGGACAUGAAUAAAUUGAGAAAAUGCUAAAUUUUAAUAAAUUGCAAUGUUUUUUCACAAAAUAGUUUUGUCGUGUGGAUUGCGGUAUAGAAAGCGGACUCUAUGAGCAUUUUUGUUUUAUUUUUUCAGUUCUAGAUUUUCUGAAAA
RNAcentral lists this long non-coding RNA (683 nucleotides) under Mytilus galloprovincialis (Mediterranean mussel). Lineage: Eukaryota; Metazoa; Mollusca; Bivalvia; Mytilida; Mytilidae. The record is from RNAcentral.